CUUUCUCUCCAAUAACAAACUUCAGCGUUUGCCAAAGUUCAACAAUCUCUCUGAGAUAGAAACAUUAUACAUGGAGAAAAACAGCCUCGUAACCCUGUCACCAGAUCAGUUCCAAGGCCUGUCCAAAUUGAAAGACCUGGCUGUUUAUGAGAACAAUAUUCAGUACCUGCCGCCUGGAGUUUUUAAAGGCUUAACAAACAUACAGUCU
This is a long non-coding RNA of Stylophora pistillata, 208 nucleotides long. The record is from RefSeq and is a predicted model, not a curated record. Lineage: Eukaryota; Metazoa; Cnidaria; Anthozoa; Scleractinia; Pocilloporidae.